AAUUUUCCAAAUAGCUGCUCUAUGCGCGACAUUUCCCUCUACAAACAUUCGCACACGCAAACUUUGUAGUUAGUUCCUUUUUUGAUUUCUCUGCGCACAAUUGCGUGAUUUUUAUGCAAAAAUCUGCUGCUCACAAUUGAAAUAGGAUGUUCUGUUAGUAGCUUUAUACUAGAAAAGAGCAAUUGACUAGUCAGUUAAGAGAUAAAUGUUAUGCCAUAUAACAGCUUCAUUAGCAGCCAGCUAGGUCGACCAGUCCGCCAGCUUGCUGCCUGUGAAUUUACAGCCGCAAAUCAGAGAGUUAUUGCGAUUACAAAAUAACGCUGUGUGGCAAGGAAGGAAGCAGCGUCUGGGCGGCGGCAAAAGCAACGCUAACUGCGAAGCCAGCGAAUACCGACUUUGCAAAAAGUUCAAUUGCUUCGUGCGAAUUAGUAGCACAUACUACGUUGAAGCGGUGAGGGUAUAUGAAAAAGAUUUGUUGUGCGUGCAAAUGAGUUUGGAAAAAAAAAAUAGAAUAAUAAGUAUAAAAUACAAUAAAUGAAUGUAUACAGCGAAAUCGGCUGAAGGGAAAAAAAAAUUGUGUGCCAAAAAUCGUGAUUGUAAAAAGUGCAAGUGUAGUGGUGCAAGCGAAUUAUGCGAGAAAAAAAUAAUUUAAAUAAUUGAUAAAAAUCGAAGUGUUUGUAACAAAAGCCAAAUCUAUGCGUAUUUAAUCAAAGGCACUAAAAUAAUAAUCCAGUAAUAAUCUACGGCAAAUAAUUUCGGCAAAUGAAGCGCUGUCGCUGAUAACUGACCUCAUUCAACUUGUUUCAGCGCACACAUACAUACAUAAAUGCCAUAGCAAUAAACCUCUCCGGGUAGCGGCAGCUGUCAAAAUCGUUCAGCAUAUAAAUUACAGGUGCGGAUUCAACAUUUUUAACUAAAGAAAGAAAAUCAUAAUCAAUCAAGGAACGUGAAGAGCGAAAAAACAAAUAGUUAAAGUACUUAAUAAAACUGAUAAAAAUCGUU
Long non-coding RNA from Rhagoletis pomonella (apple maggot), 1002 nucleotides. RefSeq lists it as uncharacterized. The transcript has 2 exons. Lineage: Eukaryota; Metazoa; Arthropoda; Insecta; Diptera; Tephritidae. The record is from RefSeq and is a predicted model, not a curated record.